AUUGAACGCUGGCGGCAGGCCUAACACAUGCAAGUCGAGCGGAUGAAGGGAGCUUGCUCCUGGAUUCAGCGGCGGACGGGUGAGUAAUGCCUAGGAAUCUGCCUGGUAGUGGGGGAUAACGUCCGGAAACGGGCGCUAAUACCGCAUACGUCCUGAGGGAGAAAGUGGGGGAUCUUCGGACCUCCCGCUAUCAGAUGAGCCUAGGUCGGAUUAGCUAGUUGGUGGGGUAAAGGCCUACCAAGGCGACGGUCCGUAACUGGUCUGAGAGGAUGAUCAGUCACACUGGAACUGAGACACGGUCCAGACUCCUACGGGAGGCAGCAGUGGGGAAUAUUGGACAAUGGGCGAAAGCCUGAUCCAGCCAUGCCGCGUGUGUGAAGAAGGUCUUCGGAUUGUAAAGCACUUUAAGUUGGGAGGAAGGGCAGUAAGUUAAUACCUUGCUGUUUUGACGUUACCAACAGAAUAAGCACCGGCUAACUUCGUG
Molecule: ribosomal RNA, 484 nt
Filed under: uncultured bacterium
Lineage: Bacteria
Description: partial 16S ribosomal RNA
Rfam family: Bacterial small subunit ribosomal RNA
Source: RNAcentral